Molecule: long non-coding RNA, 618 nt
Organism: Syngnathus typhle (broad-nosed pipefish)
Lineage: Eukaryota; Metazoa; Chordata; Actinopteri; Syngnathiformes; Syngnathidae
Exons: 3
Source: RefSeq, a predicted model, not a curated record
UUUGUAUCUUGUAGUCAGGUACAGUUAGAAGGGCUGUGGGACUGAACACAGCCAACUUGAUUCCCGGCAGAUCAUAGCGGCUCCCCUCAUUCCCUUUAAAUUCAGCGGAACAUGGCGGAAUCAUACCAGACUCGCUGGAGUCCGAGCACGAAAUCGGCGUGUGCAAAUUACAUUCAUAAGGGUCUGCAAAAAGAUUUCCACUUGCGGAUGAUGUAAAGUUGGCCACUGCAGAGUAGACAGUUGGCGAUACUUCCAAUGGAACGUUCAUGGGUGACAAGCCCUUUUUGCCGUCCACCAUUGCUCUGAUCCAUGAAGCCCACCAUUCACCAUGCUAAGUGCAGUGUGAAAAUGGCUUAAGGGGUUUAACUGGAAUAAUAGAGAAUGACACGCUGUGUCGCCUUGGUGGCCGAAUGAUGAUGUCAAAGCUGAGGCGCUGGAAUGAAACCACGCCCCCUUUUUUCAUCACACUUGGAGAGAGAUGGAAAAUAGCGUUCGCUUAAUCAAGGGCAACUGAUGGCAGCAAAAGUGGACAAGUGGUUGGCAUGUCGGCUUCACGCUUCUGAGGUCUCUGUAGUGCCUGCCCAGCUAUCAAGUGAGGAAAUUAAACAAGCAAAUCAA